GCAGAUCUAAAGUCAAAAACUAAGAAGAAGGGGCUUAGAAUCCGCCUAGCUGCCAAUGGCACAGGCGGUGGGCCACAUGAUGGUCAGUCGCUGUCGGCACUUGAUCUCAGAGUGCUGGCUAUCAUGGGCCUACUGGCUGUCCAAGGCCAAGAGGCUGUCCAAGAGCUGGGUUUUACCAACAUUAAUCUCAUUGAAAGACCUGUAGACAUCCAGGCAGAGCCAGCCAACAUAGAGCAAAUUUUUGUAAAUGAAUACUCCCACCACCAUCACCACAAUCACCACAGAUGAUGUCGACGGAAGACAUACAAUAUAAUAUAAUAGAGCCAACUAAUCCAAGACCAUCUACAUCCACGGGGAGGCCCGCCGAUGUAGGCGGUCCUAGAUUAGUACCAUCAGCACCUGCGGAAAUAACAUAUACUUCCCGUCAUUUGUCUUUGUAAAAAGCAGAAUAUAAACCUAGU
Aricia agestis (brown argus) is the source of this 461-nucleotide long non-coding RNA. RefSeq lists it as uncharacterized. The record is from RefSeq and is a predicted model, not a curated record. The transcript has 3 exons. NCBI's taxonomy places the organism in Eukaryota, Metazoa, Arthropoda, Insecta, Lepidoptera, Lycaenidae.